This 440-nucleotide ribosomal RNA is filed under the name uncultured bacterium. RNAcentral's name for it is "partial 16S ribosomal RNA". It matches the Rfam family "Bacterial small subunit ribosomal RNA", at positions 338 to 795 of the family's 1533-position model. The record is from RNAcentral.
CCUACGGGUGGCAACAGUGGGGAAUAUUGCACAAUGGGGGAAACCCUGAUGCAGCGACGCCGCGUGAGUGAAGAAGUAAUUCGUUAUGUAAAGCCCUAUCAGCAGGGAAGAAAAUGACGGUACCUGAGUAAGAAGCCCCGGCUAAAAACGUGCCAGCAGCCGCGGUAAUACGUAGGGGGCAAGCGUGAUCCGGAUUUACUGGGGGUAAAGGGAGCGUAGACGGUCGUGCAAGUCUGGAGUGAAAGCCGGGGGCUUAACCCGAGGACUGCACUGGAAACUGUACGACUGGAGUGCAGAAGAGGUGAGUGGAACUCCAAGUGUAGCGGUGAAAUGCGUAGAUAUUAGGAAGAACACCAGUGGCGAAGGCGGCUUACUGGACUGUAACUGACGUUGAGGUUCGAAAGCGUGGGGAGCAAACAGGAUUAGAUACCCUAGUAGUC